Molecule: long non-coding RNA, 2057 nt
Organism: Gavialis gangeticus (Gharial)
Lineage: Eukaryota; Metazoa; Chordata; Crocodylia; Gavialidae
Exons: 2
Source: RefSeq, a predicted model, not a curated record
AGUGUUACUUUUGCUUCCUUUCUCCCCCCCCCCGCAAAAAUUAUUACCUUAUUUCCUUGCUAAUGAUGCACACCCAACUUCCAGCAGCUACAUUUUUGAAAAAGGUAUGUGAGAAAAUAUGGUAAUUAAAAAACAGAAAUGCAGUUGCUCUCAACAGUGCUGUAAACUUGCAGCUGUCAUAGCUUUCAUGGGAGCUACUGCGGUUACUACUCAGGCCCAUCAGACACCACAGAUUGAAGUGCCUGAGACGAUCACUAAGGAUACAGACAAACAAGUCAAGGAGUAGGAAGGGAGUGGGAAAUUUCAACACUACAAACUGGAACAAGCAAGUUCUUCUAGGUCUGGAGACAUUAAUAUUAGUUGACAACUUCCCUCUUUAGGAAGAGAGAGAGGGAGAGAGUUGGCUGUGUGAGUCUGAAGUCAUGCAGCAGGUAGUCUGUAAAGUCCAAGUCUACCCUAAUUAAAUCAGAGAUGCAUAGCAUAAGCUUUCAUGAGCCCCAGCUUGCUUCUUCAGAUGCUGUGAUCAGAUCAGGCUCACAAAAGCUUAUGUUAUACCUCUCUGAUGUAUUUAAUCCAUAACAUACAAAUGUACUCUGCCUUCCAAAAUUCAUGUUGGAAGAAAGAAAGCUAGCUUGGGCUAACUACCCCUCUCUGCUCACUCAUGGCAUCGCACUCGGCCUCUUCAUGAAGGUGUGUACCUGAGUGAAGUGGGGGGAAAAGGACAUUACUUCUGCUGGUUUAAUAACAAAGGGGCUGGGCUAUACCUAAGGGCUGCUGUUUAAGUUUCUUUAUAACACAAAGGCAAAGAUACAAACAUCUCUUAGGAUGGCUGUGCUACAUUUCUGCCAGACAGGAUUGUUGGUUUUGGGGUGGAUCUGCAAGCACCAGAGACCAGGCAUCAGACCGAGAAGAGUUAAUUCAUGUUUUCAAAAGGAUCUGACAGCUGACCAUAGCUAAUUAGAGGGAUAAAGGGAAAAGGAAGAAAUUCCACUUUCCAUCAACUCUGUCAUUGGAUUUUAUCCUAGUUAAUUUAAUUAGAUUUGUGCAAGAUAAAAUUUCCACUUUAAAACAAAAAUCACAACAUUUACACACACCGUUGCAUGAUAUACAAUAUACAGCUAACAUUUAUAUACAGGUUAUUUAUUAGCAGCUAUACUCUAAAUUCACAUAGUCCAUGGCUUUACUUGCUACAGUUUCAGGCACAGUGGAAGGUUUUUCCAAGUGGGACAGCUGGGAGGUGGGUGAACCACAAUAAAUACUUUGUGCUGGAUCCUCAGUUUGGCGCGUCUAAAUGCAAAUCUACCAACUGAAGAUUCAACAGAAAAUAAAAAAUGGGGCAUAUAAUUCAGCUAAUACUCAAAAACUAUACAACUUUUGUAUUAAACACCAAAUUCAUCCUUCAAUGGUGUGUAAAGGUACUGAAAUCAAGUCCAUCCCAAGUUACUUUUUCUCUAAACCAUCUCAGUUGUAAACUAAAAUAAAAAAAAAAAAAAUCCCAAACCACCACAUGAUCAAUGUUUGCUACUGUUGAGAUAAUGGAUCACAUGUGACUAUAGGUCCACAGGAGUCUGCAUUUGUAUUUAAUAUUCCUUUAAUCAAACUGAGAAGUUCAAUGUACAGAAAGGUGUGAACACUCGUGUUUAUUUUACUUAGAGGAAAAUAAGUGUUCGAACAGUGAAGGUGAGUUAUGACACAUUAGCAAUACGGUACUUUUACUUCGCCGAAUUCAGAAGAGCCCUUAAGCGUGCAGUUCAAAAGCCGCAAGCACGCGCAUAAGUUCUCCUGACGUGGGACCCGGGCUCAGCUCUAGCAGAGACUGUAAAUACGUGUUUAACGUUCAACAUGCAGGUAGGCACACAUACUUGGGGACUUUGCUAGCCUGAGGAAUGGUCACAUUUUUUAUUUUAAAUUACUGAACACUUGCAUACAGCAUAUCUGUUACAUCCAAGGAUGUGAUCAUUUAUCCUUUUUGAGUGAAAAUAUAAAGUCUGAAAAGAAUCCCUCAGUUAAAUAAGAAAAGCAGCCUGAGUCCAUAGGCAAUGCAAUCAUUUAAAAAA